This 374-nucleotide ribosomal RNA is filed under the name uncultured organism. Its description in RNAcentral is "partial 16S ribosomal RNA". It matches the Rfam family "Bacterial small subunit ribosomal RNA", at positions 527 to 896 of the family's 1533-position model. The record is from RNAcentral.
GUAGGUGGCAAGCGUUGUCCGGAAUUAUUGGGCGUAAAGCGCGCGCAGGCGGUCCUUUAAGUCUGAUGUGAAAGCCCACGGCUCAACCGUGGAGGGUCAUUGGAAACUGGGGGACUUGAGUACAGAAGAGGAAAGCGGAAUUCCAAGUGUAGCGGUGAAAUGCGUAGAGAUUUGGAGGAACACCAGUGGCGAAGGCGGCUUUCUGGUCUGUAACUGACGCUGAGGCGCGAAAGCGUGGGGAGCAAACAGGGGGUUAGAUACCAUGGUAGUCCACGCCGUAAACGAUGAGUGCUAAGUGUUAGGGGGUUUCCCGCCCCUUAGUGCUGCAGCUAACGCAUUAAGCACUCCGCCUGGGGAGUACGGCCGCAAGGCUG